RNAcentral lists this unclassified non-coding RNA (253 nucleotides) under uncultured Phycisphaeraceae bacterium. RNAcentral's name for it is "contains 16S-23S intergenic spacer region". It matches the Rfam family "Bacterial small subunit ribosomal RNA", at positions 524 to 776 of the family's 1533-position model. The record is from RNAcentral. Lineage: Bacteria; Pseudomonadati; Planctomycetota; Phycisphaerae; Phycisphaerales; Phycisphaeraceae.
UACGAAGGGUCCAAGCGUUAUUCGGAAUCACUGGGCUUAAAGGGUGCGCAGGCGGGUCUGUAAGUGUUUUGUGAAAUCCCAUGGCUCAACCAUGGAACUGCUUGACAUACUGCAGGUCUUGAGCCCGACAGAGGUCGUCGGAACGCUAGGUGGAGCGGUGAAAUGCGUAGAUAUCUAGCGGAACGCCAAAGGUGAAGACAGACGACUGGGUCGGCGCUGACGCUCAGGCACGAAAGCGUGGGGAGCGAACGGG